GUUAUAGUAACGAGCAAGCUUAAGGUAUUCAGUACCGGAGGCGCAGCGAAAGCGAGUCUGAAAAGGGCGCAUGAAGUUCGUUGCCAUAGACCCGAAACCGGGUGACCUACGCAUGAGCAGGUUGAAGUGGGGGUGAAACCCCAUGGAGGACCGAACCGACCCCCGUUGCAAUGGUGGCGGAUGACUUGUGUGUAGCGGUGAAAUUCCAAUCGAACUCGGAGAUAGCUGGUUCUCCCCGAAAUAGCUUUAGGGCUAGCGUUGUGUUAGAUUACCGGAGGUAAAGCACUGAAUGGUUUAGGGGCUGAUAAAGUUACCGACGCCUAUCAAACUCUGAAUGCCGGAUAAUUGAUGCACAGCAGUCAGACAGUGUGAGAUAAGUUUCAUUGUCAAAAGGGAAACAGCCCAGACCUACAGCUAAGGUCCCAAAUGUAUGCUAAGUGGAAAACGAUGUGGAAUUGCGAAAACAACCAGGAUGUUGGCUCAGAAGCAGCCACACAUUAAAAGAGUGCGUAAUAGCUCACUGGUCGAGUGACUCUGCGCGGAAAAUGUAACGGGGCUAAGCAUACAACCGAAGCUUAGGAUUGUCAAAAGACAGUGGUAGGGGAGCGUUCUGUACGGGGCGAAGUCGCAGCGGGAGCAGCGGUGGACUGUACAGAAGUGAGAAUGCCGGAAUGAGUAGCGAGAAUUAUGUGGGAAUCAUAAUGGCCGAAAAUCUAAGGUUUCUUGGGGAAGGUUCGUCCGCCCAAGGUAAGUCGGGAGCUAAGCUGAGGCCGAGAGGCGUAGGCGAUGCACAUACGGUAGAAAUUCCGUAACCACCGAACUUUAAGCAUGAGGGACACUUUGAGAUAGCGGGACCCGGGCGUUGGUAGACCCGGGCGAAAGGGACCGAAAUAUAGUAGGGAAGUCCGCGAUGCUCGGAGGCGAGAAAAGCUCAUGUGUAUACUAAGGUGCCCGUACCGCAAACCGACACAGGUAGAUGAGGAGAGAAUCCUAAGGCCAACGGGAGAAGGGUUGUUAAGGAACUCGGCAAGAUGACCCCGUAACUUCGGAAGAAGGGGAGCCUCGAAAGAGGCCGCAGUGAAUAGGCCCAAGCAACUGUUUACCAAAAACACAGGUUUAUGCUAAAUCGAAAGAUGACGUAUAUGAGCUGACGCCUGCCCGGUGCCGGAAGGUUAAGAGGAGAUGUGAGCCGCAAGGUGAAGCAUUGAAUUGAAGCCCCGGUAAACGGCGGCCGUAACUAUAACGGUCCUAAGGUAGCGAAAUUCCUUGUCGGGU
This 1275-nucleotide ribosomal RNA is filed under the name human gut metagenome. Its description in RNAcentral is "bacterial LSU rRNA". It matches the Rfam family "Bacterial large subunit ribosomal RNA", at positions 627 to 1977 of the family's 2925-position model. The record is from RNAcentral.